ACCGUACUCCUACGGGAGGCAGCAGUGGGGAAUUUUGGACAAUGGGGGCAACCCUGAUCCAGCAAUGCCGCGUGAGUGAAGAAGGCCUUCGGGUUGUAAAGCUCUUUUGUAAGGGAAGGAACGGUAGUAGCUAAUAUCUAUUACUAAUGACGGUACCUGAAGAAUAAGCACCUGCUAACUACGUGCCAGCAGCCGCGGUAAUACGUAGGGUGCAAGCGUUAAUCGGAAUUACUGGUCGUAAAGCGUGCGCAGGCGGUUGUGUAAGUCAGAUGUGAAAUCCCCGGGCUCAACCUGGGAAUUGCAGUGGAGACUGCACGGCUAGAGAGUGUCAGAGGGGGGUAGAAUUCAACGUGUAGCAGUGAAAUGCGUAGAUAUGUGGAGGAAUAACGAUUGCGAAGGCAGCCCCCUGGGAUAACACUGACGCUCAUGCACGAAAGCGUGGGGAGCAAACAGGAUUAGAAACCCUUGUAGUCCUUGAC
RNAcentral lists this ribosomal RNA (479 nucleotides) under uncultured bacterium. RNAcentral describes it as "bacterial SSU rRNA". It matches the Rfam family "Bacterial small subunit ribosomal RNA", at positions 330 to 801 of the family's 1533-position model. The record is from RNAcentral.